This 18-nucleotide unclassified non-coding RNA is filed under the name Trypanosoma grayi. The record is from RNAcentral. Lineage: Eukaryota; Euglenozoa; Kinetoplastea; Trypanosomatida; Trypanosomatidae.
UUAUUUUUUUUUAUUUUU